UAUCUCUCUCACAUCUUCAUUUUAAUUGCAUAAAUAUCGACUAGUUUUUACCAUAACGCGAGCAAAAUGAACGCGUUUCGAGUAUUCAAUUUGAUAGUGCAGAGCUGCCUUAAAAGUACAUUUGAAGAAAUGACUUGACUUGCUCAUCGCGUAACUCGAAAACUUGGCGCCAUUAAAUUUCUGGAAACUUUGCGAGAGGAUGUAUUUCUUAAUUAAGUGCGAGCAAUAUUAUGUAUUGCAUAAAAAAAAAUUAAAAUAGUGGAAGGAAGUAAAAUGUGCAUUGCAAAAUUUAGCAAAGGCAGUUUCGAAGCGGAGAUUAUUGAUUCGCGAGAAGAUUUUAUUUCAUUAGAAGAAGAAAUACUGGACCAGCAAUGUCAAGAACUUAAUAAGGACUUACUAGAAGCAGCCACUAAGUUAAAUGAAAGUUAAGCAACAACGAACGAUGAUAAAUCCGAGGAGCCAUUAACAGCUUAUAAGUCAAAUACUGACACAACAAAUAAAAGCAACCUGGGACAAUUUGAAGCUUUCGCUAGUUUGUGUUCGUUUCAACUGUCUUGUGCUCGUCUUAUAUUUAUAUGUUUCUAACAAAGAUGAUCCUAUAGAGGAUUCCGAAUCAGAUUAUUCUGAACAGCGAUCAGAAAACGACUUCAGUAUUUCCGAUGAUGACAUUGUAGAAAAAUCGAAAAAAAAAGGAAAGCGCCCAAAUAGAUCAUCAUUUGGAAAAACCAUAAGAAACCGUUGGUCGAAUGAAGAGCGUGAAGAAAUAUACCAACGCAGUUAUAAAUAAUUCUACAUAUCUAAAAUGUAGGACACCGGCGCAAGUAAAAACAUGGAUAGAUAAUCAGCGCAAGGCUAAAUCAAGAAAAUCAACUCCGCAAAUAGAUUAAAUAAUGAAUAUGUUGACCAUAUUUAGAACUAA
Molecule: small RNA, 919 nt
Filed under: Drosophila virilis
Lineage: Eukaryota; Metazoa; Arthropoda; Insecta; Diptera; Drosophilidae
Description: GJ26591
Source: RNAcentral